RNAcentral lists this ribosomal RNA (253 nucleotides) under uncultured bacterium. RNAcentral describes it as "partial 16S ribosomal RNA". It matches the Rfam family "Bacterial small subunit ribosomal RNA", at positions 524 to 776 of the family's 1533-position model. The record is from RNAcentral.
UACGAAGGGGGCUAGCGUUGUUCGGAAUGACUGGGCGUAAAGCGCGCGUAGGCGGAUGUGACAGGCAGAGGUGAAAUCCCGGGGCUCAACCUGGGAACUGCGUUUGAAACGACGGGUCUGGAGGUCGGGAGAGGUGCGUGGAAUUCCCAGUGUAGAGGUGAAAUUCGUAGAUAUUGGAAAGAACACCGGUGGCGAAGGCGGCGGCCUGGUUCAUUACUGACGCUGAGGCGCGAAAGCGUGGGGAGCAAACAGG